This 253-nucleotide ribosomal RNA is filed under the name uncultured bacterium. Its description in RNAcentral is "partial 16S ribosomal RNA". It matches the Rfam family "Bacterial small subunit ribosomal RNA", at positions 524 to 776 of the family's 1533-position model. The record is from RNAcentral.
GACGGAGGAUGCAAGUGUUAUCCGGAAUCACUGGGCGUAAAGCGUCUGUAGGUGGUCAAAUAAGUCAACUGUUAAAUCUUGAGGCUCAACCUCAAAAUCGCAGUCGAAACUAUUAGACUAGAGUAUAGUAGGGGUAAAGGGAAUUUCCAGUGGAGCGGUGAAAUGCGUAGAGAUUGGAAAGAACACCGAUGGCGAAGGCACUUUACUGGGCUAUUACUAACACUCAGAGACGGAAGCUAGGGUAGCAAAUGGG